AGUGAACGCUGGCGGUAGGCCUAACACAUGCAAGUCGAACGGCAGCACAGGAGAGCUUGCUCUCUGGGUGGCGAGUGGCGGACGGGUGAGGAAUACAUCGGAAUCUACUCUGUCGUGGGGGAUAACGUAGGGAAACUUACGCUAAUACCGCAUACGACCUACGGGUGAAAGCAGGGGACCUUCGGGCCUUGCGCGAUUGAAUGAGCCGAUGUCGGGUUAGCUAGUUGGCGGGGUAAAGGCCCACCAAGGCGACGAUCCGUAGCUGGUCUGAGAGGAUGGUCAGCCACACUGGAACUGAGACACGGUCCAGACUCCUACGGGAGGCAGCAGUGGGGAAUAUUGGACAAUGGGCGCAAGCCUGAUCCAGCCAUACCGCGUGGGUGAAGAAGGCCUUCGGGUUGUAAGCCCUUUUGUUGGGAAAGAAAUCCAGCUGGCUAAUACCCGGUUGGGAUGACGGUACCCAAAGAAUAAGCACCGGCUAACUUCGUGCCAGCAGCCGCCGUAA
Molecule: ribosomal RNA, 505 nt
Filed under: uncultured bacterium
Lineage: Bacteria
Description: partial 16S ribosomal RNA
Rfam family: Bacterial small subunit ribosomal RNA
Source: RNAcentral